RNAcentral lists this ribosomal RNA (253 nucleotides) under uncultured bacterium. RNAcentral's name for it is "partial 16S ribosomal RNA". It matches the Rfam family "Bacterial small subunit ribosomal RNA", at positions 524 to 776 of the family's 1533-position model. The record is from RNAcentral.
UACGGGGGGGGCAAGCGUUGUUCGGAUUUACUGGGCGUAAAGGGCGCGUAGGCGGCGUGACAAGUCACUUGUGAAAUCUCCGGGCUUAACUCGGAACGGUCAAGUGAUACUGUCGUGCUAGAGUACAGAAGGGGCAACUGGAAUUCUCGGUGUAGCGGUGAAAUGCGUAGAUAUCGAGAGGAACACCUGCGGCGAAGGCGGGUUGCUGGGCUGAUACUGACGCUGAGGCGCGAAAGCCAGGGGAGCGAACGGG